ACUACGUGCCAGCAGCCGCGGUAAUACGUAGGUCCCGAGCGUUGUCCGGAUUUAUUGGGCGUAAAGCGAGCGCAGGCGGUUAGAUAAGUCUGAAGUUAAAGGCUGUGGCUUAACCAUAGUACGCUUUGGAAACUGUUUAACUUGAGUGCAGAAGGGGAGAGUGGAAUUCCAUGUGUAGCGGUGAAAUGCGUAGAUAUAUGGAGGAACACCGGUGGCGAAAGCGGCUCUCUGGUCUGUAACUGACGCUGAGGAGCGAAAGCGGUGGGGAGCGAACAGGCUUAGAUACCCUGGUAGUCCACGCUAGUAAACGGUGGGUACUAGGUGGUGGGGUCCAUUCCGACGGGUUCCGUGCCGUAGCUAACGUCUUUAACGUACCCCGCCGUGGGGAGUACGGCCGCAAGGCUAAAACUCAAAGGAAUUGACGGG
Molecule: ribosomal RNA, 426 nt
Filed under: uncultured bacterium
Lineage: Bacteria
Description: bacterial SSU rRNA
Rfam family: Bacterial small subunit ribosomal RNA
Source: RNAcentral